RNAcentral lists this ribosomal RNA (779 nucleotides) under Enterobacter sp. RNAcentral's name for it is "bacterial SSU rRNA". It matches the Rfam family "Bacterial small subunit ribosomal RNA", at positions 19 to 789 of the family's 1533-position model. The record is from RNAcentral. Lineage: Bacteria; Pseudomonadati; Pseudomonadota; Gammaproteobacteria; Enterobacterales; Enterobacteriaceae.
CUGGCUCAGAUUGAACGCUGGCGGCAGGCCUAACACAUGCAAGUCGAGCGGUAACACAGGGAGCUUGCUCCUGGGUGACGAGCGGCGGACGGGUGAGUAAUGUCUGGGAAACUGCCUGAUGGAGGGGGAUAACUACUGGAAACGGUAGCUAAUACCGCAUAACGUCGCAAGACCAAAGAGGGGGACCUUCGGGCCUCUUGCCAUCAGAUGUGCCCAGAUGGGAUUAGCUAGUAGGUGGGGUAAUGGCUCACCUAGGCGACGAUCCCUAGCUGGUCUGAGAGGAUGACCAGCCACACUGGAACUGAGACACGGUCCAGACUCCUACGGGAGGCAGCAGUGGGGAAUAUUGCACAAUGGGCGCAAGCCUGAUGCAGCCAUGCCGCGUGUAUGAAGAAGGCCUUCGGGUUGUAAAGUACUUUCAGCGAGGAGGAAGGCAUUAAGGUUAAUAACCUUGGUGAUUGACGUUACUCGCAGAAGAAGCACCGGCUAACUCCGUGCCAGCAGCCGCGGUAAUACGGAGGGUGCAAGCGUUAAUCGGAAUUACUGGGCGUAAAGCGCACGCAGGCGGUCUGUCAAGUCGGAUGUGAAAUCCCCGGGCUCAACCUGGGAACUGCAUUCGAAACUGGCAGGCUAGAGUCUUGUAGAGGGGGGUAGAAUUCCAGGUGUAGCGGUGAAAUGCGUAGAGAUCUGGAGGAAUACCGGUGGCGAAGGCGGCCCCCUGGACAAAGACUGACGCUCAGGUGCGAAAGCGUGGGGAGCAAACAGGAUUAGAUACCCUG